Molecule: long non-coding RNA, 783 nt
Filed under: Mytilus galloprovincialis (Mediterranean mussel)
Lineage: Eukaryota; Metazoa; Mollusca; Bivalvia; Mytilida; Mytilidae
Source: RNAcentral
CCCGUGACACCCCUCAUUAUUUUUCUCUAGGAGCCGUGGAAUAGGUCGACCCCCCUAUUUUUGGACAUUUUUUUUUCAAAUUUUGGGCUCUAGUUUCAGAUUUUUGAACAUAGCGCCCUUCGAUACCUUGCGCAAAAGAAGCGCCUGUUUCUCCUCUACAAGACCUAUAUAGUCAUACCCCGUGACACCCCUCAUUAUUUUUCUCUAGGAGCCGUGGAAUAGGUCGACCCCCUAUUUUGGACCAUUUUUUUUUUCAAAUUUUGGGCUCUAGUUUCAGAUUUUUGAACAUAGCGCCCUUCGAUACCUUGCGCAAAAGAAGCGCCUGUUUCUCCUCUACAAGACCUAUAUAGUCAUACCCCGUGACACCCCUCAUUAUUUUCUCUAGGAGCCGUGGAAUAGGUCGACCCCCCUAUUUUGGACCAUUUUUUUUCAAAUUUUGGGCUCUAGUUUCAGAUUUUUGAACAUAGCGCCCUUCGAUACCUUGCGCAAAAGAAGCGCCUGUUUCUCCUCUACAAGACCUAUAUAGUCAUACCCCGUGACACCCCUCAUUAUUUUUCUCUAGGAGCCGUGGAAUAGGUCGACCCCCCUAUUUUGGACCAUUUUUUUUUCAAAUUUUGGGCUCUAGUUUCAGAUUUUUGAACAUAGCGCCCUUCGAUACCUUGCGCAAAAGAAGCGCCUGUUUCUCCUCUACAAGACCUAUAUAGUCAUACCCCGUGACACCCCUCAUUAUUUUUCUCUAGGAGCCGUGGAAUAGGUCGACCCCCUAUUUUGGACCAUUUUUUU